Felis catus (domestic cat) is the source of this 548-nucleotide long non-coding RNA. RefSeq lists it as uncharacterized. Lineage: Eukaryota; Metazoa; Chordata; Mammalia; Carnivora; Felidae. The transcript is spliced from 2 exons. The record is from RefSeq and is a predicted model, not a curated record.
GAUUCUGUGUCUCCCUCUCUCUUUGCCCCUUCCCUGCUCAUGCUCUGUCUCUCUCUGUCUCAAAAAUAAAUACAAACAUUAAAAAAAAUUUUUUUUGUUUAAAUAAUGUGAUUCGAUAGGUCUGGUUAGGGCCCAAGAAACUGCAUUUUUACCAAUGAUGAGGUGAUGUUAAUGCUGCCACUUUACAGAUCACAUUUUGAGCAGCAAUAAAGCAUCUCCCAGGUUCAAAUUUUGUCUUAUCACGAGUUUCCCCUUAUAUCUGUAUCCAAGCUUGAUACUCUUCCCUGUGGAUAAUUUAUAGUGUAGUUCCCCGGCUUACUCUGAAUCCUGGCUUUUACCGUUUACUCAAGCAGAGUGAUCUUGAGGAAAUUCACUCGUUACUGCUUCCUUUGUGAGGUUGUUACGUAAGAUUAAGUGAAAUAACGUAUGUAAAGUGCUUAGCAUGGUACCUGUUGUACGUUUAUGGUUGCUGAUUGUUUUGAUAGCAAUGAGCAUAAAUGUGAUGGUAAGAAAUUGAGUGGAAAGAGAAUACAGGCGUGUCUUCUCAA